UUAUACCUACGGGGGGCAGCAGUGGGGAAUAUUGCACAAUGGGGGGAACCCUGAUGCAGCAAUGCCGCGUGGGUGAAGAAGCACUCCGGUGCGUAAAGCCCUGUCAGCAGGGAAGAAAAUGACAGUACCUGGACAAGAAGCCCCGGCUAACUACGUGCCAGCAGCCGCGGUAAUACGUAGGGGGCAAGCGUUAUCCGGAAUUACUGGGUGUAAAGGGAGCGUAGACGGUAACGCAAGUCUGGAGUGAAAGGCGGGGGCCCAACCCCCGGACUGCUCUGGAAACUGUGUAACUGGAGGGCAGGAGG
This 305-nucleotide ribosomal RNA is filed under the name uncultured bacterium. RNAcentral describes it as "partial 16S ribosomal RNA". It matches the Rfam family "Bacterial small subunit ribosomal RNA", at positions 333 to 655 of the family's 1533-position model. The record is from RNAcentral.